GCCAAGGACAGCGAUGACGAUGACGACGUCACUGUCGCCGUGGACCGAGACCGCUUCAUGGACGAGUUCUUUGAGCAGGUGGAGGAGAUCCGGGGCUUCAUUGACAAGAUCGCGGAGAACGUGGAGGAGGUGAAACGGAAGCACAGCACCAUCCUGGCCUCCCCCAACCCCGACGAGAAGACAAAGGAGGAGCUGGAGGAACUCAUGUCCGACAUCAAGAAGACGGCCAACAAAGUGCGGUCCAAGCUGAAGAGCAUUGAGCAGAGCAUCGAGCAGGAGGAAGGCCUGAACCGCUCCUCGGCCGACCUGAGGAUCCGGAAGACGCAGCACUCCACACUGUCCAGAAAGUUUGUGGAGGUCAUGUCCGAGUACAACGCGACGCAGUCCGACUACCGGGAGCGCUGCAAGGGCCGCAUCCAGAGGCAGCUGGAGAUCACUGGCCGGACCACGACCAGCGAGGAGCUAGAGGACAUGCUGGAGAGUGGGAACCCUGCCAUCUUUGCCUCCGGGAUCAUCAUGGACUCCAGCAUCUCCAAGCAGGCUCUGAGUGAGAUCGAGACACGGCACAGCGAGAUCAUCAAGUUGGAGAACAGCAUCCGCGAGCUACACGACAUGUUCAUGGACAUGGCCAUGCUGGUGGAGAGCCAGCCUCAGGCUGCUUUCCUGAAGUCCUGCCCGAGCCCCCACCCCAAGGCCAAGGAGGAAACCCCCUGGAGCUCGCCUGCCUUCGGCCCCCCAGGGGGAGAUGAUUGACAGGAUCGAGUACAACGUGGAACACUCAGUGGACUACGUGGAACGGGCUGUGUCUGACACGAAGAAGGCGGUCAAGUACCAGAGCAAGGCGCGCCGGAAGAAGAUCAUGAUCAUCAUCUGCUGCGUCAUCCUGGGCAUCGUCAUCGCCUCCACCUUCGGAGGCAUCUUCGGGUAGACGCCGCCCAACGGCCGCCCUGCCCUGAGGAGGCCCUGGCUGCUGGCCGCCCACCUUCUGGCUCACAGCCUCCUCCCUCCCACCCCCUUCUGCUCCUCUCUGCCCUGGGCCGUGUCGUGUGCAUGAUCUUUGUGACAGUGCGUGUCUGUACAGGGGAGGCAGACGGGAGCCGGGCUGCAGCGGGGGCGGCCUGGGGCAGACUCAGGCCCUGGCCCAGGCUGCCCCCGCCCUGCCCCGCCGAGACAGGGCUGCCGGGUAGCACCUGCUACCCCUCCUCACCUGGGACCCAGGCUCUGUCUGGACCUAGCCUUGCCCAUCUGCCCUGUCCUCUCCAGCUGUCCCCCAAGCUGAGCCCCUGAGGGGUGGGGACCAGCUGGCUAUGGUGCUGCUUUUCAGGUUAGGGGAGGGGUGGCCCAGAGGGACAGUCCAGCUCUGCACCUCUAUCAGCUGACCACUGCCACAAGGCUCAGGGAGCUGUGGCUGCUGACCAGGUGGAGGCCAGGGUCUCCCCCCAACCCAGGGGCAAGGCCCAACAGCUUCCCCGCCCACAUCCCUGGGAGCUAAAGCACCCCUUUGGGCUAGGCCUGACGCCAGAUGACCCGUGCAGAGGCUGGUGGUCAGGCCUGUGCCCAGGCGUCCCCAGCAGGCCUCAAGCCAUGCUGCAUGUUCGGGACAGCAGUGCCUGCGCCCGUGUGCUCUAGGUCGGAUGUCCCUUGAGGCCUGCAGUCUCAUCCCGCCCUGCUGUCCCCGUUGAUGUGCCAUGUGGGUGUCAGAUGUCCUAGACGCAGUAUUCAGCAGUGGGGAGGGGCUGCUCUCCCCUCCCUGUCCACCUGGAGUCAGAAUGGGGCCCCACCCCCGAGACCCCUGCCGACGGGCAGGAGGUGUGCAUGCCGGUGUGCAUGGGGUGUGCUGGGGCCGCAUCCACCCUCCGGAAUCCCCGCGCUUGGCUCCUGCCGUGACUGUGACCACUGUCCGUGUUGCCUUCUUCAACAGCCACUUCCCACCCCCUUCACCAAAGGUCUUGGUACAACCAGCUGCCCAUUUUGUGAGGUUUUUAUGUAGAAUAAACAUUUGUACCUGUA
This is a non-coding RNA of Oryctolagus cuniculus (rabbit), 2010 nucleotides long. NCBI's taxonomy places the organism in Eukaryota, Metazoa, Chordata, Mammalia, Lagomorpha, Leporidae. The record is from RefSeq and is a predicted model, not a curated record.